AGAUGUGAGAGCAAUCUGGCUGAGACAUCUGUCACCUCUUUGUUCGUCAGUACUGACUCUUCUGAGCUGACUGAUGAGGCAGAUGCCCCUCUUCCUUCCUCACAGCCCCAUGUGUGCCGUUCCCCACGAUGCUGCAUACGUGGAAGUACUGGCAAGCAAGCAAGAAGGGAAGCCAUCACCAUG
This 183-nucleotide small nuclear RNA is filed under the name Marmota monax (woodchuck). It matches the Rfam family "7SK RNA", at positions 1 to 184 of the family's 331-position model. Rfam says of the family: 7SK was discovered as an abundant small nuclear RNA in the mid-70s but a possible function has only recently been suggested. Two independent studies have found that 7SK RNA binds the CDK9/cyclin T complex (known as elongation factor P-TEFb). Lineage: Eukaryota; Metazoa; Chordata; Mammalia; Rodentia; Sciuridae. The record is from RNAcentral.